AUGUCUACCCUUCCACAUUUUCACUCAAAAAUCUCUAGUCUUUUCUGUGGGCUUCUCUCUUUAUAACUUGUUGUUCAGCAGCUCAACAGGGGCAGGAGGGACCUCCAAGGUCUUACCUGCCUGAAUCUGGCCCCAUCCUAUGAGACGCCAAUGCUUCUCAACACGACGGCUCAGGGCAACCUUCUCAUUUUGACUCGUGCAAACAGGGGCAGUUAGCUGCAGCUUCGCAAGAUCAUUCCUCACA
RNAcentral lists this unclassified non-coding RNA (244 nucleotides) under Hevea brasiliensis (rubber tree). The record is from RNAcentral. Lineage: Eukaryota; Viridiplantae; Streptophyta; Magnoliopsida; Malpighiales; Euphorbiaceae.